This 203-nucleotide ribosomal RNA is filed under the name uncultured bacterium. RNAcentral describes it as "partial 16S ribosomal RNA". It matches the Rfam family "Bacterial small subunit ribosomal RNA", at positions 328 to 538 of the family's 1533-position model. The record is from RNAcentral.
ACGCUCGACACCUAUGGGAGGCAGCAGUGGGGAAUAUUGCACAAUGGAGGAAACUCUGAUGCAGCGAUGCCGCGUGAGGGAAGAAGGUUUUCGGAUUGUAAACCUCUGUCUUUGGGGACGAUAAUGACGGUACCCAAGGAGGAAGCUCCGGCUAACUACGUGCCAGCAGCCGACGGUAAUCUGAGGCGGGCGUGGACGAAGGC